This 319-nucleotide unclassified non-coding RNA is filed under the name plant metagenome. Its description in RNAcentral is "partial contains 5.8S ribosomal RNA, internal transcribed spacer 2, and large subunit ribosomal RNA". The stretch from base 1 to 105 matches the Rfam family "5.8S ribosomal RNA", at positions 50 to 154 of the family's 154-position model. The record is from RNAcentral.
GAAAUGCGAUGAGUAAUGUGAAUUGCAGAAUUCAGUGAAUCAUCGAAUCUUUGAACGCACAUUGCGCCCGCCAGUAUUCUGGCGGGCAUGCCUGUUCGAGCGUCAUUUCAACCAUCAAGCCCCCGGGCCUGUGUUGGGGACCUGCGGCUGCCCGCAGGCCCCGAAAACCAGUGGCGGGCUCGCUGUCACCCCGAGCGUAGUAGCAACACCUCGCCCAGGGAGUGCCGCGGGUUCCGGCCGUAAAACCUCGCCCUCGCGGCGAGAACACCCCCCCCAAGGUUGACCUCGGAUCAGGUAGGAAGACCCGCUGAACUUAAGC